AUUGAACGCUGGCGGCAGGCCUAACACAUGCAAGUCGAGCGGAUGAAGGGAGCUUGCUCCUGGAUUCAGCGGCGGACGGGUGAGUAAUGCCUAGGAAUCUGCCUGGUAGUGGGUGAUAACGUCCGGAAUCGGGCGCUAAUCCCUCAUACGUCCUGAGGGAGAAAGUGGGGGAUCUUCGGACCUCACGCUAUCAGAUGAGCCUAGGUCGGAUUAGCUAGUUGGUGGGGUAAAGGCCUACCAAGGCGACGAUCCGUAACUGGGCUGAGAGGAUGAUCAGUCACACUAGAAAUGAGACACGAUACAAACUCCUACGGGAGGCAGAAGUAGGGAAUAUUGGACGAUGGGCGAAAGCAUGAGCAAGACAGGCAGCGUGUGUGAAGAAGGUCUUAGGAUUGUAAAGCACUUUAAGGUGGGAGGAAGGGAAGUAAGUGAAUACAUUGCUGUUUUGACGGUACCAACAGAAUAAGCAACGGCUAACGUCGUG
Molecule: ribosomal RNA, 484 nt
Filed under: uncultured bacterium
Lineage: Bacteria
Description: partial 16S ribosomal RNA
Rfam family: Bacterial small subunit ribosomal RNA
Source: RNAcentral